AACGAACGCUGGCGGCAGGCCUAACACAUGCAAGUCGAGCGCCCCGCAAGGGGAGCGGCGGACGGGUGAGUAACGCGUGGGAACGUGCCUCUUGCUACGGAAUAGCCUCGGGAAACUGGGAGUAAUACCGUAUGUGCCCUACGGGGGAAAGAUUUAUCGGCAAGAGAUCGGCCCGCGUUGGAUUAGGUAGUUGGUGGGGUAAUGGCCUACCAAGCCGACGAUCCAUAGCUGGUUUGAGAGGAUGGUCAGCCACACUGGGACUGAGACACGGCCCAGACUCCUACGGGAGGCAGCAGUGGGGAAUCUUAGACAAUGGGCGCAAGCCUGAUCUAGCCAUGCCGCGUGAGCGAUGAAGGCCUUAGGGUUGUAAAGCUCUUUCAGUGGGGAAGAUAAUGACUGUACCCACAGAAGAAGCCCCGGCUAACUCCGUGCCAGCAGCCGCGGUAAUGUA
Molecule: ribosomal RNA, 451 nt
Filed under: uncultured bacterium
Lineage: Bacteria
Description: bacterial SSU rRNA
Rfam family: Bacterial small subunit ribosomal RNA
Source: RNAcentral